CUACGGGACGCUCCAGUGAGGAAUUUUGCGUAAUGGGGGAAACCCUGACGCAGCAACGCCGCGUGAGCGAAGAAGGCCCUCGGGUCGUAAAGCUCUGUCAAGUGGGAAAAAAAUCUUUUGAUCAAUAGUCAAAAGACUUGAUGGUACCACUGGAGGAAGCACCGGCUAACUCCGUGCCAGCAGCCGCGGUAAUACGGAGUGUGCAAGCGUUGUUCGGAUUUACUGGGCGUAAAGAGCGUGUAGGCGGUUUAGCAAGUCAGAUGUGAAAGCCCUGGGCUCAACCCGGGAAGUGCAUUUGAAACUGCUUCACUAGAGUAUGGGAGAGGAGAUUGGAAUUACUGGUGUAGAGGUGAAAUUCGUAGAUAUCAGGAGGAACACCCGUGGCGAAGGCGAUUCUCUGGACCAAUACUGACGCUGAGACGCGAAAGCGUGGGGAGCAAACAGGAUUAGAUACCCUAGUAGUC
Molecule: ribosomal RNA, 464 nt
Filed under: uncultured bacterium
Lineage: Bacteria
Description: partial 16S ribosomal RNA
Rfam family: Bacterial small subunit ribosomal RNA
Source: RNAcentral